Molecule: long non-coding RNA, 5857 nt
Filed under: Gossypium barbadense (sea-island cotton)
Lineage: Eukaryota; Viridiplantae; Streptophyta; Magnoliopsida; Malvales; Malvaceae
Description: long non-coding RNA (GBAR_LNC006362)
Source: RNAcentral
GCUUUUUUUGUUCCUUGGAUUUCAGAAAUAAUGUUUCAGUCUAGUUCUUUGUCAUGUUGCACAAACACAUGAGCAAUACUUUUCAAGCUGCCAUAUAUGUACACUGUGAUAUUAGCCUUUCAAAGACAUAAAAAAAGGACUUGAAAACCUAAAUAUAUAGCUCCAAUUAGUGUAAACUGAUUGUAUAGUUUUUCAACAUUUCACAUCACAAUUGAAAUAAUUAAAAAUUGAUAAGAUUUUAAACAAAACCUGAUAAGCUUGUAAGACGUGAAUGGAAUAUUUUUAAAAUCGUACGUACUGAUUUAAUUGCAAUCAACGAUGAGACAAGUGAAGAGCUGCAUUUGUGGCGUGCGUUUUCUCCAUUUUCUCAAUCCUUCUUGCGUGAGAUUAAUUAUAUUAUCAUGUUUACUUUACGUGCAUGGCGCCUUUAAACUGGAUUUCUUUAUACAUACGUCUCUCGGAUGAAAACAAAAGUGUAGUCUAAUCGCAGCUAAGCUACACUUGAAUUUGUACCAAGUUAUUCCAAGAAUCUGAUAUGCUCGACUUGGGGGCCUUCAACUCACAACCCUCUUGUUUGUUUCUUCGACAUGAAUCACAUGAUAUCUACUUCCAAAUUUCUUCUAUUCACUUUCAAUAAUUAAACUUCAUAAUUGAGCUUUCAAACUUGCUGCAACCCUUUGUGCAGAAGGCUGCACUUUUACUUUAGAAGAAAAAAGCUGCCAAAGAUGAGCAACCUUUACUCAUUAAAAAAUUUGGAAAGUGUUAUAUGUUGUUCCAAUAGGGUCGGAAGCGUGUAAAUUAUUGUACUAAAAAAUCACACAAAGUUCAAUUCCCAGGGAAGAGAGGUGGAUCACAUGGAUCUCUUAAAUACCAAGUCUUUCCUUAGUCAGAAUAUCCCUUCUAUAGUAAUUUAAUAGCACAAUUAAAUACUACUAUUAUACCCUCAAAUAUUGAAAGAAAAAUAGGACAAAAAGAACAUAAGAGUUUUAACGAGGUUCGGUAAAUUAUACCUACGUCCUCGGGCACUAACACCAGAUGAUAACUUUACUAUCUCCAAAAUAUUACAAACAAAUAGAAUUCCUUAAGAAUUCUCAAAUGGGAGAAGAGAGAAAACUAAGAGAGAAAGAUUGGUUGGGAUGAAUUGAAAUGAGAAAUGAGAAGGCCUAUUUAUAGUUGAGGUUCAAGGACCAAACAAUAAAUAGCCCAUUAUCUCAAGGACCAAAAAAAAAAUUAUCCCUUGCCACUUUUCCAAAGUUGGUGGUUGUCAUUAUUGAUUGUCUCCCAUUAAUGUUAAUGGCAACCAUUAUUAAUUGUCUUCCAUUAAUGUUAAUAAUCUCCACCUUGAAGAUUUGAUUAGGAUAAUCACAUCUUCACACACUUCCUUCAACUCCCCAAAUUCGAUAAAGCUAUCUUUUGUAGUGCCUACAAAUGCGCUCUCGAGCGCCAUACACCUGAAGGUGCUCAAAUUCUCAGGAUGUUAAUCAAGUUCAAACAAUGAUUAAACUUGAUAGUUGUUACCACCUUGGUCAUCAUAUCUGCGGGAUUAUCUGUUGUCGGAAUCUUCUGAAGUAGAAUUUUUCCUUUUUCAAAGACUUCCCGCACAAAGUGAUAUCUUACUUCGAUAUGCUUGGUUCUUGAAUGAUAGACUUGAUUUUUCGCUAAAUGAAUAGCGCUCUGACUGUCACAAUAUAAACUUAUGUGACUUUGAACAACUCCUAAGUCUUUCAACAAUCCAUUAAGCCAAAUAGCCUCCUUAACAGCUUCUGUAACUGCCAUAUAUUCUGCCUCUGUAGUAGACACAGCUACUGUAGACUGUAAGGUAGACUUCCAACUCACUGGGGCUUUUGCAAGAGUAAACAGAUACCCCUUAGUUGAACGACGUUUAUCUAAAUCACCAGCAAAGUCGGAAUCAACAUAUCCAACUACAAACUGACCAAGUGCUUCAUCCUGUUCAAAAAUUAAACCAACAUCUACGGUUUUUCGAAGAUACCGUAGAAUCCAUUUCACAGCUUGCCAAUGUCCUUUUCCAGGAUCAUGCAUAUACCUGCUCACAACUCCAACAGCUUGUGAAAUGUUAGGCCUCGUACACACCAUCGCAUACAUCAAACUCCCAACUGCAUUAGCAUAUGGGACUUUCGCCAUAUAUUCUCUUUCUUCUUCAGUUUUCGGAGAUAAUUGAGCACUAAGUUUCAAAUGAGAAGCAAGUGGGGUACUUACAUGUUUUGUGUUUUCAUUUACACCAAAACAUUGUAAUACCUUUUUCAGAUAUUGCUUCUGAUUUAAACAGAGCUUGCCUCUCGGUCUAUCUCUACUUAUCUCCAUGCCGAGAAUCUUCUUGGCCUCACCUAGAUCUUUCAUCUCGAACUCUUGAUUCAACUGAGCCUUCAGCUUAUCUAUCUCAUUUUGGCUCUUUGAAGCGAUUAACAUAUCAUCAACAUACAAGAGUAGAUAAAUGAAAGAUCCGUCAUGCAGCUUCUGCAAAUAUACACAAUUGUCAUAUUUGCUUCUUGUGUACUUCUGCCUUCUCAUAAAGCUAUCAAAUCGCUUGUACCACUGCCUCGGGGAUUGCUUCAAUCCAUAUAGCGAUUUGUUAAGCUUACAAACCCAAUUUCUACCACCAGCAUCUGUGUAUCCUUCUGGCUGAGUCAUAUAGAUCUCCUCUUCUAACUCACCAUGCAAGAAAGCCGUCUUAACAUCAAGUUGAGCUAGCUCCAAAUUCAACUGUGCUACCAAGGCCAACAAAAUUCUAAUGGAGGAAUGCUUCACAACAGGAGAAAAUACAUCAUUUUAGUCAAUUCCCUCCUUCUGAGCGUAGCCUUUAGCUACCAAUCUUGCCUUGUAGCGAAUAUCCUUCUUGCUAGGAGAUCCAUCUUUCUUUGCGAAUACCCACUUGCAUCCGAUUGCCCUUUUACCUUUCGGUAAUUGCGCCAACUCCCAAGUAUUGUUCUUCCGGAGAGACUGCAUUUCUUCAUCCAUGGCGCUUUUCCAUUUAUCACUUUCUAAGCUUUGCAUUGCUUCUUGAUAAGUGAUAGGAAUAUCAUCAACAACGGGAAGGGCGUAGGCCACCAUAUCAGUAAAUCGAGCAGGUUUACGAAUUUCUCUCCGUGGCCUUACAACUGCAACUGGUUCUGGUGUACUUAGUGGUUCUUGGGUCAGAACCUCUUCAACCUCUAAUUCCUCCAUUGUGGCUGGAGAAUUAGACUUAUUAAUUGGGCAAAUCCCCAUCUGCUCAAACUCCACCUGUUUUGGAGUACACUCCACCUGCUGUGGAGUAUUGCUCGUCUGAAUAUCUUUAUCUGCUACCUUUUUCAAUGUGGCAGAUUCAUCAAAGGUAACAUCUCUGCUACAGAUCAUUUUCUUUGUGCUUAAGCACUAAAGACGAAAUCCCUUCACUCCAGAAGUGAUUCCCAUAAAGAGAGCUUUCUUUGCCCUCGGAUCUAACUUUGACUCCUUCACAUGGUAAUAUGCAGUGGUUCCAAACACAUGUAAGGAAUCAUAAUCUGUAGCCGGUUUUCCAGAUCAUACCUCCAUAGGAGUUUUUCUUUCUAAUGCAGAUGAUGGCAAACGAUUAACAAGAUGGCCAGCGUAUGUCACAGUCUUAGCCCAAAAUUGCUUGCCCAACCCAGCAUUGGACAACAUACAUCGAACUUUCUCCAGCAAUGUUCGAUUCAUACGCUCUGCCAAUCCAUUCUGCUGUGGUGUAUCCCUAACUGUGAAGUGUCGAACAAUACCAUACUCUUGGCACACAUCGAAGAACGGAUCACUUUUAUAUUCCCCUCCAUUGUCCGUCCUAAGCCGCUUGAUUUUCUUGCCAGUCUGGUUUUCGAUCAUAGUUUUCCAUUUAAGAAAAACUCUAAGCACUUCAUCCUUAGUUCUCAUGGUAUACACCCAAACUCUUCUGGAAAAGUCAUCAACAAAAGUAACAAAGUAGUGUUUUCCUCCCAAUGAAGGUGUCUUGGAAGGCCCCCACACAUCUGAGUGAACAUAUUCCAAAAUACCUUUUGUAUUAUGGAUAGCAGUACCGAAUUUCACUCUCUUUUGCUUUCCCAGAACACAAUGCUCGCAAAAUUUUAAUUUGCAAGCCUUUGCACCUUUCAACAAUCCUUGCUUUGCCAGAAUUUGCAAGGAUUAUUCGCUGGCAUGUCCCAACUUCAUAUGCCACAACUGUAUUGAGUCCAAUUCUUUGUUGCCGGAAGCUGCAGCGACUGCUCCAAUAACUGUACUACCUUGGUAGUACUACCUUGGUAGUAAUACAAGUUAUUUUUCCUGACGCCCUUCAAUAUCACAAGUGCGCCAGAUGUCACUUUCAAAACCCCAUCUCUCAUACUAACAACUGAACCAUUGGAUUCCAAGGCUCCCAAUGAGAUGAGAUUUUUCUUCAAACUGGGCACGUACCGAACAUCAGUCAGAACUCUGGUUGAUCCAUCUUUAUUCUUUAAUUUGGAUUGAACCUAUCCCAACAGUUUUACAGGCAUUGUCAUUGCCCAUAUAAACAACUCCUCCAUUUAGUUCUACUAAAUCAGAGAACCACUCCUGGUUAGGGGACAUAUGAUAGGUACAACCCGAAUCCAAUAUCCACUCAUCUGAAUGGAACGACGAUGAUGAUGCAACCAGUGAUAGUUCAGAGUCACUAGUAUCAUACUUAGCAACACAAGCAUCUACAGCAGCUUUUCCCUUAUUCUUCAGCUUUGGACAAUUUUUCUUCCAGUGGCCUUUCUUAUGACAAAAAGCACAUUCAUCUUUCCCGAGUCUGGACUUUGACUUUGAUCUCCCCUUUUGAGUUUUCUUCCGAGUGUAUGAACGACCUCGGACUACUAAAGCUUCUGUAUCUCUGAUUGAGUUUUUCUGUUUGUCCUUCUUUCUCUGUUCAUAACUGUAUAAGGCCGCACAGACUUCGCUCAGAGAUAUAUCACUCCUGCCAUGAAGUAGAGUAGUUUCUAGGAACUCAAACUCCUCAGGAAGUGACCCCAACAGCAUCAAAGCCAAAUCUUCAUCUUUGAAUGUCUCAUCCAUAUUCAGCAAAUCAGUGACUAACUGAUUAAAUUUGGUGAUGUGAUCAUUCAUUGUGGUACUUGGGACGUAUGUGAAGCGAAACAGUCUUUUCUUCAAGUGGAGCUUAUUUUGACUGUUUUUCUUCAAAAAAUUUUCUUCAAGUACCACCCACAACUUAUUUGCAGAAGUCUCCUUUGAAAAAGCAUACCUCUGCUCUCGAGAAAGGCAUGAUCGAAUUGUGCCACAUGCCAACCGAUUGAUCGCCUUCCAAUCUUUCUCCUGUACAUCAUCUGGUUUCUCUUCAUCAAUGGCAAUGUCUAGACCCUGCUGAAAAAGGGCAUCUAGAACCUCACUUUGCCACAUACCAAAAUGGCCCGUGCCAUCAAAGAUCUCCACGGCCAAUCUUGCAUUUGCAAUUGUCGGUCUUGUCCACAUGGACGAUGUUGAAGCUCCUACACCGACCGUUUUCUCCAUAAUCUUUCAAUAUACCUAAGGAAAUCUUUUCUGAUGUGGAAGAUCAGUUUAAACUGCAACCACAGAGCAUACUACGAUUAACCUUCGGCUCUGAUGCCACUUGUUGUUCCAAUAGGGUCGGAAGCGUGUAAAUUAUUGUACUAAAAAAUCACACAAAGUUCAAUUCCCAGGGAAGAGAGGUGGAUCACAUGGAUCUCUUAAAUACCAGGUCUUUCCUUAGUCAGAAUAUCCCUUCUAUAGUAAUUUAAUAGCACAAUUAAAUACUACUAUUAUACCCUCAAAUAUUGAAAGAAAAAUAGGACAAAAAGAACAUAAGAGUUUUAACGAGGUUCGGUAAAUUAUACCUACGUCCUCGGGCACUAACACCAGAUGAUAACUUUACUAUCUCCAA